This 349-nucleotide ribosomal RNA is filed under the name Salmonella enterica. RNAcentral describes it as "partial 16S ribosomal RNA". It matches the Rfam family "Bacterial small subunit ribosomal RNA", at positions 622 to 970 of the family's 1533-position model. Lineage: Bacteria; Pseudomonadati; Pseudomonadota; Gammaproteobacteria; Enterobacterales; Enterobacteriaceae. The record is from RNAcentral. RNAcentral also lists the same sequence under 1 other name.
UGCAUUCGAAACUGGCAGGCUUGAGUCUUGUAGAGGGGGGUAGAAUUCCAGGUGUAGCGGUGAAAUGCGUAGAGAUCUGGAGGAAUACCGGUGGCGAAGGCGGCCCCCUGGACAAAGACUGACGCUCAGGUGCGAAAGCGUGGGGAGCAAACAGGAUUAGAUACCCUGGUAGUCCACGCCGUAAACGAUGUCUACUUGGAGGUUGUGCCCUUGAGGCGUGGCUUCCGGAGCUAACGCGUUAAGUAGACCGCCUGGGGAGUACGGCCGCAAGGUUAAAACUCAAAUGAAUUGACGGGGGCCCGCACAAGCGGUGGAGCAUGUGGUUUAAUUCGAUGCAACGCGAAGAACC